GUCCCUGUAGCCCAAUGGACAGAGCCCUGGACUUCUAAUCCAAAGGUCGUGGGUUCGAAUCCCACCUGGGAUA
Molecule: non-coding RNA, 73 nt
Organism: Trichonephila inaurata madagascariensis
Lineage: Eukaryota; Metazoa; Arthropoda; Arachnida; Araneae; Nephilidae
Source: the annotation of a GenBank genome assembly